GACGAACGCUGGCGGCGUGCUUAACACAUGCAAGUCGAACGAUGAAGCCGGAGCUUGCUCUGGUGAAUUAGUGGCGAACGGGUGAGUAACACGUGAGUAACCUGCCCUUGACUCUGGGAUAACUGCUAGAAAUGGUAGCUAAUACCGGAUACGACCCUCGGCGGCAUCGCCAGGGGGUGGAAAGAAUUUCGGUCAAGGAUGGACUCGCGGCCUAUCAGCUAGUUGGUGAGGUAACGGCUCACCAAGGCGACGACGGGUAGCCGGCCUGAGCGGGUGACCGGCCCCACUGGGACUGAGACACGGCCAAGACUCCUACGGGAGGCAGCAGUGGGGAAUAUUGCACAAUGGGCGCAAGCCUGAUGCAGCAACGCCGCGUGAGGGAUGACGGCCUUCGGGUUGUAAACCUCUUUUAGUAGGGAAGAAGCGAAAGUGACGGUACCUGCAGAAAAAGCACCGGCUAACUACGUGCCAGCCGCCGCCGUAA
Molecule: ribosomal RNA, 484 nt
Filed under: uncultured bacterium
Lineage: Bacteria
Description: partial 16S ribosomal RNA
Rfam family: Bacterial small subunit ribosomal RNA
Source: RNAcentral